GCGAAUACCGGAGAAUGUUAUCACGGGAGACACACGGCGGGUGCUAACGUCCGUCGUGAAGAGGGAAACAACCCAGACCGCCAGCUAAGGUCCCAAAGUCAUGGUUAAGUGGGAAACGAUGUGGGAAGGCCCAGACAGCCAGGAUGUUGGCUUAGAAGCAGCCAUCAUUUAAAGAAAGCGUAAUAGCUCACUGGUCGAGUCGGCCUGCGCGGAAGAUGUAACGGGGCUAAACCAUGCACCGAAGCUGCGGCAGCGACACUCAGGUGUUGUUGGGUAGGGGAGCGUUCUGUAAGCCUGCGAAGGUGGCCUGUGAGGGUUGCUGGAGGUAUCAGAAGUGCGAAUGCUGACAUAAGUAACGAUAAAGCGGGUGAAAAGCCCGCUCGCCGGAAGACCAAGGGUUCCUGUCCAACGUUAAUCGGGGCAGGGUGAGUCGACCCCUAAGGCGAGGCCGAAAGGCGUAGUCGAUGGGAAACGGGUUAAUAUUCCCGUACUUGGUGUUACUGCGAAGGGGGGACGGAGAAGGCUAUGUUGGCCGGGCGACGGUUGUCCCGGUUUAAGCGUGUAGGUGUGUGUUCCAGGUAAAUCCGGUUCACUUUAACACUGAGGCGUGA
RNAcentral lists this ribosomal RNA (611 nucleotides) under Salmonella enterica subsp. enterica serovar Agona. RNAcentral's name for it is "partial 23S ribosomal RNA". It matches the Rfam family "Bacterial large subunit ribosomal RNA", at positions 956 to 1566 of the family's 2925-position model. The record is from RNAcentral. Lineage: Bacteria; Pseudomonadati; Pseudomonadota; Gammaproteobacteria; Enterobacterales; Enterobacteriaceae.